AGUGAACGCUGGCGGUAGGCCUAACACAUGCAAGUCGAACGGCAGCACAGGAGAGCUUGCUCUCUGGGUGGCGAGUGGCGGACGGGUGAGGAAUACAUCGGAAUCUGCCCAGUCGUGGGGGAUAACGUAGGGAAACUUACGCUAAUACCGCAUACGACCUUCGGGUGAAAGAGGGGGAUCGCAAGACCUCUCGCGAUUGGAUGAGCCGAUGUCGGAUUAGCUAGUUGGCGGGGUAAUGGCCCACCAAGGCGACGAUCCGUAGCUGGUCUGAGAGGAUGAUCAGCCACACUGGAACUGAGACACGGUCCAGACUCCUACGGGAGGCAGCAGUGGGGAAUAUUGGACAAUGGGCGCAAGCCUGAUCCAGCCAUACCGCGUGGGUGAAGAAGGCCUUCGGGUUGUAAAGCCCUUUUGUUGGGAUAGAAAUCGUUCAGGCUAAUACCCUGGGAGGAUGACGGUACCCAAAGAAUAAGCACCGGCUAACUUCGUG
RNAcentral lists this ribosomal RNA (490 nucleotides) under uncultured bacterium. Its description in RNAcentral is "partial 16S ribosomal RNA". It matches the Rfam family "Bacterial small subunit ribosomal RNA", at positions 29 to 507 of the family's 1533-position model. The record is from RNAcentral.